UACGGGAGGCAGCAGUGGGGAAUAUUGCACAAUGGGCGAAAGCCUGAUGCAGCUAUGCCGCGUGUAUGAAGAAGGCCUUAGGGUUGUAAAGUACUUUCAUCGGGGAGGAAAAACAAAACUAAUAAUUUUAUUUCUUGACGUUACCCGAAAAAGAAGCACCGGCUAACUCCGUGCCAGCAGCCGCGGUAAUACGGAGGGUGCUAGCGUUAAUCAGAAUUACUGGGCGUAAAGAGCACGUAGGUGGUUUUUUUAAGUUCAGAUGUGAAAUCCCUGGGCUUAACCUGGAACUGCAUUUUGAAACUGAAAUACUAGAGUAUCGUAGAGGGAGGUAGAAUUCUAGGUGUAGCGGUGAAAUGCGUAGAUAUCUGGAGGAAUACCUGUGGCGAAAGCGGCCUCCUAAACGAAAUACUGACACUGAGGUGCGAAAGCGUGGGGAGCAAACAGGGAAUUAGAUACC
This 457-nucleotide ribosomal RNA is filed under the name uncultured bacterium. Its description in RNAcentral is "bacterial SSU rRNA". It matches the Rfam family "Bacterial small subunit ribosomal RNA", at positions 340 to 786 of the family's 1533-position model. The record is from RNAcentral.